This 253-nucleotide ribosomal RNA is filed under the name uncultured bacterium. RNAcentral describes it as "partial 16S ribosomal RNA". It matches the Rfam family "Bacterial small subunit ribosomal RNA", at positions 524 to 776 of the family's 1533-position model. The record is from RNAcentral.
UACGAAGGGUGCAAACGUUGCUCGGAAUUAUUGGGCGUAAAGCGCACGUAGGCGGACCGGACAGUCAGAGGUGAAAUCCCAGGGCUCAACCUUGGAACUGCCUUUGAAACUAUCGGUCUGGAGUUCGAGAGAGGUGAGUGGAAUUCCGAGUGUAGAGGUGAAAUUCGUAGAUAUUCGGAAGAACACCAGUGGCGAAGGCGACACACUGGCCCAUUACUGACGCUGAGGCUCGAAAGCGUGGGGAGCAAACAGG